UUCGGGUUGUAAAGCACYUUCAGGCGGGGAGGGAAGGACGUUAAGGUUAAUAACCUUUGGCGAUUGACGUUACCCGCAGAAGAAGCACCGGCUAACUCCGUGGCCAGCAGCCGCGGUAAUACGGAGGGUGCAAGCGUUAAUCGGAAUUACUGGGCGUAAAGCGCACGCACGGCGGUCUGUCAACUCGGAUGUGAAAUCCCCGGGCUCAACCUGGGAACUGCAUUCCAAACUGGCAGGCUAGAGUCUUGUAUAAGGGGGUAGAAUUCCAGGUGUAGCGGUGAAAUGCGUAKAGAUCUUGAGGAGGAAUACCGGUGGCGAAGGCGUGUCCACCCUGGACAAAGACUGACGCUCAGGUGCGAAAGCGUGGGGAGCAAACAKKAUUAGAUACCCUGGUAGUCCACGCCGUAAACGAUGUCGAUUUGGAGGUUGUGCCCUUGAGGCGUGGCUUCCGGAGCUAACGCGUUAAAUCGACCGCCUGGGGAGUACGGCCGCAAGGUUAAAACUCAAAUGAAUUGACGGGGGCCCGCACAAGCGGUGGAGCAUGUGGUUUAAUUCGAUGCAACGCGAAGAACCUUACCUGGUCUUGACAUCCACAGAACUUUCCAGAGAUGGAUUGGUGCCUUCGGGAACUGUGAGACAGGUGCUGCAUGGCUGUCGUCAGCUCGUGUUGUGAAAUGUUGGGUUAAGUCCCGCAACGAGCGCAACCCUUAUCCUUUGUUGCCAGCGGUCCGGCCGGGAACUCAAAGGAGACUGCCAGUGAUAAACUGGAGGAAGGUGGGGAUGACGUCAAGUCAUCAUGGCCCUUACGACCAGGGCUACACACGUGCUACAAUGGCAUAUACAAAGAGAAGCGACCUCGCGAGAGCAAGCGGACCUCAUAAAGUAUGUCGUAGUCCGGAUUGGAGUCUGCAACUCGACUCCAUGAAGUCGGAAUCGAUAGUAAUCGUCGAUCAGAAU
Molecule: ribosomal RNA, 957 nt
Filed under: Klebsiella pneumoniae
Lineage: Bacteria; Pseudomonadati; Pseudomonadota; Gammaproteobacteria; Enterobacterales; Enterobacteriaceae
Description: bacterial SSU rRNA
Rfam family: Bacterial small subunit ribosomal RNA
Source: RNAcentral